This 2625-nucleotide long non-coding RNA is filed under the name Nicotiana tabacum (common tobacco). Its description in RNAcentral is "long non-coding RNA (NTAB_LNC007032)". The record is from RNAcentral. Lineage: Eukaryota; Viridiplantae; Streptophyta; Magnoliopsida; Solanales; Solanaceae.
UGCAUUGAAAAAACAAUUUUAUUAGAUAACCUAUAACACAAAUAAAAUUCCAUUACAAAUAACUAUAAUACUAAGCAUAAGAAGUUCAAAUCUUUAUCAAACUAAGCUAAUACAAACUCAUGUAAGGUAACUUAAAAAAUUUAUUAAACAGAAUGUAACUUAAACAUUAUCAAAUCUAAAAUGGUUCUACAAUUUAUAAAUUUAUAAACAUAUAAAAAGCACUAUGUAUUUGCUUGGUGAUUUUCAUUGCUGCCAUCCGAUGAUCCUCUUAUUCCACAAGUGAAGUAAACAUCAUCCAGCUGAAAUAAUGAAAUAAAAAUAUUUGAUGAGAAACUUAUAAACCACUAGCAUUUCUCUAACAAAAUAGGACUAGUAAACUAUAAACUAAUAAUUAGUUAAAUGCAGCGUAUUAGUAAUGAGAAAAUUCUCAAUUCACACGAGUCAUCAAGGUGCUCUACUACGUCAACCUCAAACACUAAAGAAUGUUGGUUAUAAAAUUACAAAUAAUCUUUUUCUCUCUCCAAGUUUUACACAGAGAGUAGCAACAAGCAAAGACCUUUGAGGAAAGUAAAUACAAGAACAAGAUUUUUCAGUUCACUUAAACCAUCAAGGGAGCUAAGACAACCUCAGAUGCUAAAGCACAAUGCUUAUAGAACUGGAAAAGUAGAAAAAUGAAUCUCACAUAGCCAACGUAUCGUCCAUGAUAUUACCAACAUUAUAGACACAUGCCAAGAUACAAAUCAUGAUUCUAGUUCUAGGAGAGAUAAAGGGAAAGGAGUGCAACUUACAAAUAUUUCUCUUGCCCCCUCAGUCACAUAUGAUCCAAUCUUAUUUUUUAUGCAUAGCAAGACAAAUUUGUCCUCGUCCUGACUUUAUCCCUGUCUCAGCCAUCUAGGUAUGAAAAAACUUUUAAGUAUAAAUAACUUAAUUAAACAAGAAAGAAUAGUUACAUAUAAGUUUAAUUGUUAAAGUAAAAUAAAUAGGUACCAUCUCUAACCAUUUAUGCCCUUAUUCCAGAAUUAAGGAACCCACAAAAGAUCUUCCAAAAAACAGUUAGGAACUAACCACUCAAUAGAUCAUCUCCAAUAAAUUUUGCGCCUUCCUUCCUGAGAUGGAAAAAAGGAGGCUAUUUUGAGCUGAGAUAUUCAUAUCACCUUACUCGAAGGAAAUAGUAAUUAAGCAGCAUAAUACCUUAUUAAAAAUAUAAAUGCAACACCAAAGAAAUGUCUUUCUUUCUAUAGGACUUCAAGACAAGAAGUGAUGCCAUGUUUUUGCUAUUCUGCCUAACAAAUCAUUACAAGAUGUCAACCAAUCAGUUAUCAAUCAGAUGUUCGUUUUCUAUUUGAAAAACACUAUAGGCACAUCUAAUGAAAAAUAAUGCACAAGCUUGUCAUUUACGAAAGGGUGUGCAAGAAAAUAACAGAAACCUACUCCAACAUAACCAUCAAGUAGUUGAUAUUAUUCUUUUUUGCUUCUUAUAGUAAGUGCCACUUUCAUCGAAUAACAGAAACCUACUCCAACAUAACCAUCAUGAAGAAGAAUGCAAAACAGACAGAUGUCAUGGUCAUCGAAUUACUAUUAACAUAUUUAGUUUUCUAAAACUACAACAUAACAAUUUGAUGGUACUUCUAUCGAACUUCAACUACAAUUCUUAGAGAUAAUUGCCAAUUUAGCAGAGCUUCUGAAGCAACUGAUUGCUACAAAACAAUUUCAAAUGCUCCUCUGUUAAGUUAUUCACCCACACACACUAUACACCUAUAUACUGCAGAUGCCACCAAACACAUGCCAACUGCAGAUGCUACUGGACUUUUCUUACCAAACAUAGGUCUCUGUUUUGCUUUUAAAGAGACUAAAUUGGAAGCAACUAUUUUAAUGACUCAAACUAAUAAAGCAAACUACAAAACUAUAGUGGAAAAGAUUUCCAGUUUAGAUAAAUAUUAUAGCUCUGACUUUUCCAUGGAAAAUUUUCUUUUCCUCAAAUUCUUCAACCUAAAUACCCAUCACAAGUUCAACCACAAACCACCAAAAUACACUACUAAAGUUAGUGAAUAUUGAAAUUAAAAUUUGUCUCGAAAACUGAAAUAUUAUACUCAAAUACAACAUGGAAAACUCAGGUUCUUGAGAAUUCAGUGAUGACUUCGCAUGAAAUUGAGCCCUAAUUUUGCUUUGAGGGAGUGGUGACCCGAGGUACGACCUCCUAUUUUAAGAGCAUUAUCCAAAGCUAUAAGAGAAUCAAAACCCUAAACUAGAAACAAAUGAAAUUAGAGGGGAAGGAACUUACAACUUCCAUCCUUAAUUAAGCAACCCCCAUUCGAACUUCCCGACUCAAAACACUAAUCAACGAUCAUACCAGUGGAUGGUUUCAAGCUUAAUCAAGCAACCAUCACGAAAGAAAUUGAAAGCAGACUUUUUUUGGAUUUUAUCUGGCCGCACCUAUUGAGCAUUUAGGGUGGUUAUAUUAGGGUUGAUGGUAUUUGGGGAAAGUGAGUGAAAGUAAAAAACAAAAGACGGAAAUUUUGGAGGAAAAGGGAAUAAAAACGAGGGAAAUAUUGCCGCGCUUGUUUUCAUUUAAAAUUAAAAAGAAUUAAAUAUAUUUUAGGUCACAACCCAAAAAAUAAUUUGUUC